This 790-nucleotide ribosomal RNA is filed under the name uncultured bacterium. RNAcentral's name for it is "bacterial SSU rRNA". It matches the Rfam family "Bacterial small subunit ribosomal RNA", at positions 8 to 795 of the family's 1533-position model. The record is from RNAcentral.
AGAGUGUUGAUCCUGGCUCAGAAUGAACGCUGGCGGCGCGCCUAAUACAUGCAAGUCGAGCGAGAAGACGUAGCAAUACGUUUGUAAAGCGGCGAACGGGUGAGGAAUACAUGGGUAACCUACCCUUGAGUGGGGAAUAACUAGCCGAAAGGUUAGCUAAUACCGCGUACGCUUCUUGGACUUCGGUUCAGGGAGGAAAGCGCUACCGUGGGUAGCGCGCUCUUGGAUGGGCUCAUGUCCUAUCAGCUUGUUGGUGAGGUAACGGCUCACCAAGGCUUCGACGGGUAGCUGGUCUGAGAGGACGAUCAGCCACACUGGCACUGCGACACGGGCCAGACUCCUACGGGAGGCAGCAGUAAGGAAUAUUGCGCAAUGGGCGAAAGCCUGACGCGAGCGACGCCGCGUGGGGGAUGAAGGUCUUCGGAUUGUAAACCCCUUUCGGGAGGGAAGAUGGAAUGGGGUAACCCAUUCUGACGGUACCUCCAGAAGCAGCCACGGCUAACUUCGUGCCAGCAGCCGCGGUAAUACGACGGUGGCAAGCGUUAUUCGGAUCUACUGGGCGUACAGGGAGCGUAGGCGGUUCGGUAAGCCCUUUGUGAAAUCUCCAUGCUCAGCCCUGGACAAGUCGGAGGGGACUGCCUGGCUAGAGGACGGGAGAGGAGCGCGGAUUUCCCGNGUGCGGUGAAAGCGUAAAGAUCGGAGGAAUGCCGUGCGAAGCGGCGCUCUGAGCGUUCUGACGCCUAGGCUCGAANCGUGGGGAGCCAACAGGAUCAGAUUUCCCUGGGUUGUC